GACGAACGCUGGCGGCGUGCUUAACACAUGCAAGUCGAACGGAAAGGCCCUGCUUUUGUGGGGUGCUCGAGUGGCGAACGGGUGAGUAACACGUGAGUAACCUGCCCUUGACUUUGGGAUAACUUCAGGAAACUGGGGCUAAUACCGGAUAGGAGCUCCUGCUGCAUGGUGGGGGUUGGAAAGUUUCGGCGGUUGGGGAUGGACGCGCGGCUUAUCAGCUUGUUGGUGGGGUAGUGGCUGACCAAGGCUUUGGAGGGUAGCCGGCCUGAGAGGGGGGCCGGCCACAUUGGGACUGAGAUACGGCCCAGACUCCUACGGGAGGCAGCAGUGGGGAAUAUUGCACAAUGGGCGGAAGCCUGAUGCAGCAACGCCGCGUGCGGGAUGACGGCCUUCGGGUUGUAAACCGCUUUCGCCUGUGACGAAGCGUGAGUGACGGUAAUGGGUAAAGAAGCACCGGCUAACUACGUG
Molecule: ribosomal RNA, 468 nt
Filed under: uncultured bacterium
Lineage: Bacteria
Description: partial 16S ribosomal RNA
Rfam family: Bacterial small subunit ribosomal RNA
Source: RNAcentral